GAGACGGAGUCUCGCUCUGUCGCCCAGGUUGGAGUGCAAUGGCGCCAUCUUGGCUCACUGCAACCUUUGCCUCCCAGGUUCCAGCAAUUCUCCUGUCUCAGCCUCCCAAGUAGCUGGGACUACAGGCGCAUGCCACCAUGCCCAGCUAAUUUUUGUAUUUUUAGUAGAGACAGGGUUUCACCAUAUUGGUCAGGCUGGUCUUGAACUCUUGACCUCAGGUGAUCCACCUGCCUCAGCCUCCUAAAGUGCUGGGAUUACAGGCAUGAGCCACCACGCCUGGCCCAGCAUAAAGGAUUUCUUAUUACCCAAAUGGACAAAGGCUUAAAUCGGGACUCACGUCCUGGGCAUGAAUAAAAUGAAUAUAAUAGCCCAUGAAAUAAAGGAAAAAAAAUUCCUGAGAACUUUCAUUUAAUGUAAUUCAAUAAAUAGCACAAACAUUUAUCAGUGUAGAGAAAAUUAUACAUUAUCAAAGGAUCAAAUAGUUUGAAUUCUCUACGAUCAUUAAAUCUAGGGUCUUAGAAGAUUGCAGCUUUUUAUCAUCCUGUUAAUUCUUUUGGUUUCAUUUCUUGUACAAUUUAUUUUUAAAAAGGUAGCAUAUGGGUUUGCUCUCAUCUAUGCGUCCAGAAGCAAGAAGCUUAACAUGAAGUCUUCACAGACGCGCACUGUCACCAUUAAGUUUUAUUAGAGGCCAGAAUCUUCCUUGUGAAUCCAUUUCUCAGGGAAUCUUGGAUCUGUACUGGGAUCUCCAUUCUUCUCCCACUACACACAGGAGACACCCACUAGUAGCUACAGAGACUAAAUUCUCUGCAGAUGAAGGUCCACUAAAAUCUGCUACUUUGUGGCAUUCUCUACUGUAGUGAUGCCUAAUAAUUGUAUGUUUUCCAAGUCUGAUUGAAAAUCUUAGGGUUGGAAAUGAUUUUGUUUUCCAAGUCUGAGGGAAAAUCUUAGGGUUGGAAAUGAUUUUAUGUUUCCUAAGAAUGACUGAAAAUCUUAGGGUUGGAACGAUCUUAAAAGUGAUCAAGAACAGCCCUGAGUCCUCUUUCUAGAAAGUGCUUAACCAAGCAUGCUUACUAACACCUAGAUAAGGGAAACAUAAUCCAGCUGUUAAAAAUGGCUAAUACUGAAUUUUAGAUGAUGUUGGUAUGCCUAAAAAGCACAUCAAAAUAUUUUCUUUGGGAGAUCUCCAUUUUAAGUCUCAAAGUGAAGAGAUUUUUGUUAAUCGUAAAAAAAUUUUUAAAAAAACCCCUUGCUUCCAGUAGCUCGCUGUCAAAAUAUAAUUAUUUAAUAAAUCAAAAUGAACACAGGCUUAGGAUGACUGAUGUUUCAAGAAAAGAUAGAGCAUAAAAUAUAGUUGGAUACCAGUUUUCAUUUUGCUCUGGGAGAGGGAUGGAAAUGUUUAGUCGUUGAUUUUUCAAUGUGCUAUCAAUAGUAGGGGAAAAAAUCACAGAAACAUAGUUUGUUAUAUAGAGUGAAUCCAGGAACAGUCACCCUUACCAGGUCUGUGGAAAUGCUGGGGAGAGCGGGACGUGGUUGGAGUGUAGCUGUGGCGGCUGUACACAGGGGAGUUGAUGGAGCCCUGGCUCGUGGACCGAUGGAUCAUCCGAUCCCGAACAUCCUGGUACCCCUGGAAAC
This 1632-nucleotide long non-coding RNA is filed under the name Homo sapiens (human). RNAcentral describes it as "HSALNT0168442". The record is from RNAcentral. Lineage: Eukaryota; Metazoa; Chordata; Mammalia; Primates; Hominidae.